Molecule: long non-coding RNA, 1793 nt
Filed under: Xyrichtys novacula (pearly razorfish)
Lineage: Eukaryota; Metazoa; Chordata; Actinopteri; Labriformes; Labridae
Rfam family: Metazoan signal recognition particle RNA (bases 662-960)
Source: RNAcentral
GUUGAAACUACAAACUUUUUCUCCAUGUGCAUGGUGUAUGUAGAAGCUACAACUUUUACUCUCCACAUAUUUGUUCAGUCAACAUUUCUCAAAAUGGGUUUCCCAAGUGACUCUACAAACCAUCCCUAAAUAAUAAAAUAAAAUAAAAUAAAAAAAACACCACACAAACAAACAAACAGCUGACUCAUCCCUGAUUACUGAAGACUGCAGUUGGACUCCCGACCCCUCAAGUGCUUAACUAAUCUGCAUUAAAUGUUUACAUUACAGUAUCCAAAGCAGGUUAUUUUCCUGUUUAUAAUAUUUAACUUUAAAAAAGAACCACAGCAUGGAGGAAAUAUUCAAAUCUGAAAGACAUAAGGUCCUGAAAGUUGGAGUUUCUCUUAUGCUUCUGAUGGUCAUUGCUCAUGCCCACCAGGUGGAGGCGCUGCUGGUCAAACAAACACAGUUGCUCUGUACAGGUGCGGAUGAAACAAGAAUGAUGAGUUGUUGUGUUGAAGAUGUUGUAACCGGUACAAACACUACAGUUGACUGUAUAAAUUUUGGUUAGUCGUUUGUAUAAGCUGAUAAACAGUUGGGUCUGUGGUCUUCAGCAGGGGUCCGGCUGUUUCUCCACGAUGACAUCUCGUGCGUAAACCUCUCUGACACAGGAUCCGUGUCUGUCGCCGGGUGCGGUGGCGCGCGCCUGUAAUCCAAGUCCCCGGGAGGCUGAGUCUGGAGGAUCGUUUGAGUUCAGGAGCUCUGAGCUGCAGCGGACUAUGUCGAUCGGGUGUCCGCACUAAGUUCGGUAUCGAUAUGCUGAUCCUGGGGGAGCCCGGAACCAGCAGGUCGUCUAAGGAGGGGUGAACCGGCCCAGAUCGGAAACGGAGCAGGUCAAAGCCCUCGUGCCGCUCAGUAGUGGGUUCGCGCCCGUGAAUAGACGCUGUAGUCCAGCCUGAGUGAUACAGCGAGACUCAGACUUUUUACACGGACAAAUAAACACACACAGCAUCUACAACAAAGUUUCGACAUGUUCAAAGAUCUUUAGCUCUGAUUAAGCUGCUUCCUUUCUAUCCACACCUGCACAGAGAAAGCAGCUGUGUGAGUUUGACCUGCAGCGCCUCCACCUGGAGGACACGAGCAACGACCACCACAGCAGUAUUUUUACUGGGACAGAGCACACCUGUUUCUUUAACUUAAUUCUUUAAGUUUGCAGCUCAACCACAAAUUCCAGUCGUGUGCUGUAAUAUAAAUUUGCCGGAAUUAAAAUAGUGUAUACAUCUCAUCUGUAUCUCCAAGGUAGUUAAUUAUUAUUAUUAUUAUUCAACCUUUAUUUUACUGGGAAUAUUUCCAACAAGAUCCAACAAGUAUUUUCUUAACCAGAAAAAGCAUUUGUCAUGAGUGUAGGACAUAUCACAAGAUAGUUCACAGGACAUGACAUAACAUAAAUAACAGACUGUAUUAUACUGUAUUAUAUAUACUUUUAGCUGUGCUACCUUUUAAGUAUAAAAAUGAUACACCAGUUUUACAGAAAGUGUUGGGUUAAAAGGAGUAAAAAGUGAUUUUAAAAAAAGGUUAAGUUAAUGAGAAGAUUGUUUCAGUGCUUACAUUUGUUUCUGGUUUUUGCCAUCUAGUGGCUGUUGUCCGUUAUUUUUUUCUCAGUGUUGUGAGGCACAGUUAGUGGAGAGAUUGGCACACAAUUGUUGUAGUAUUGUGUUUUUAUAUGAUUUUGAUUUGUGUUAUAGAAUUAUAUAUGGAUAGAACUAUGUAUUAUUCUUCAGGCAUCCUUUUUGACACCUAUGGAAAGGAUCAAAAAC